GAUGAACGCUAGCGGCAGGCCUAACACAUGCAAGUCGAGGGAGAAGCCCUUCGGGGCGGAAACCGGCGCACGGGUGCGUAACGCGUAUGCAACCUACCUUUCACAGGGGGAUAGCCCGAAGAAAUUUGGAUUAAUACCCCAUAGUAUUAUUGGGUGGCAUCAUUUGAUAAUUAAAAUUACGAUGGUGAAAGAUGGGCAUGCGUCCUAUUAGCUAGUUGGAGUGGUAACGGCACCCCAAGGCUACGAUAGGUAGGGGUCCUGAGAGGGAGAUCCCCCACACUGGUACUGAGACAGGGACCAGACUCCUACGGGAGGCAGCAGUGAGGAAUAUUGGUCAAUGGUCGGAAGACUGAACCAGCCAUGCCGGGUGCAGGAAGAAUGCCUUAUGGGUUGUAAACUGCUUUUAUAUGGGAAGAAUAAGGUGUACGUGUACAUUGAUGACGGUACCAUAUGAAUAAGC
This 460-nucleotide ribosomal RNA is filed under the name Capnocytophaga granulosa. Its description in RNAcentral is "bacterial SSU rRNA". It matches the Rfam family "Bacterial small subunit ribosomal RNA", at positions 28 to 491 of the family's 1533-position model. The record is from RNAcentral. Lineage: Bacteria; Pseudomonadati; Bacteroidota; Flavobacteriia; Flavobacteriales; Flavobacteriaceae.